This 1339-nucleotide long non-coding RNA is filed under the name Oryctolagus cuniculus (rabbit). Its description in RNAcentral is "lncRNA (ENSOCUG00000037818.1)". Lineage: Eukaryota; Metazoa; Chordata; Mammalia; Lagomorpha; Leporidae. The record is from RNAcentral.
CAGGCAGCAACCAAAGUUCAAGUUUAAUGGACUCCUGCUACAACUGCUGGUAGAAGCAGUGCUCCAGUUGCUGGAAGGGGAAACACAAAUGUUACCACAGCGGGUCAUGGAAAGGAUGGUGAGCAGGUACACACCUUCUUCUGCUUCUUGGUCCCCACCUGUUGGGACCCAGAACCAUAAAGAGAUCAUGGACUUAGGGUGUCUGCUGACUCUGGGAGGUGGUGCCCCACCCUGGCCAAGCUUCGUCUCCAAACUGACUCCGCUGGGAGCCUUAUUGAGCCUGUUCAGCUAUUCUGUUAGGCCACCAGCUUCCAGGUGACAUGAGAACAAAGCCCAGAGGUAGCCCAGUCACAUGUCCAGUGCCACCCUUCUUUGAUAUAAAGCACGUCCUCUGGCCUAAUGGGAUAUUGCAGAGUAUUUGCUGAAGGUAUCUGAUUGUCCUGCUGGGUGAGGCUUUGCAGGUAGGGAAGUCAAACCACAGGUAGAAUGUAAGUGAGCUCCCUCCUAGGAAAGGGAUCCAAUGCAAUCAACUUGACAUCAAGUGGCUUGCUGGUCUACCUGAGGGUUGGUGCUAUACACUUUGCAUAAGGUUGGCUUUGGGCGAGGACACAAGUAAAUCUCAUCCCUGCAACUGCGGCUAUUGCAUUUGUGCACCCAGAGUGCCUACACCAGGAAGGUCCAUGUCAGAGGACAGCUGCUGCCAACCGGUGCAUCCUGCUACCUAACAGGCUGUUUACUUCCUGUGGCGUGGUGAACACCCAGCGGUUGGUGUUACCAGAUGACGGAGAUAUAACACUCCAUGCCCGUUCCCUAGAUCCACCCAGCUGUCUCCUCGCCUCCUUCCUUCUACCCAGUCUUCCAAUCCGUCUCCUUGAGACUCCUGAUCAACAAGCCAGCCACCCAACAUUGCCCACAGAGUCCUGCAUAUUCUUACAUGGAGCUGCUUCUUUCUCCACCCCAGGCAGACUUCCAAGUAAACUACUUAGAACUCAGGCCACUGGAGUACUGCUGCCCUGCCCCGGCUUGGGGGCCACCCUGAGAUGCUGUGGUGUAGCCGUCCAUGUUGUGCCUGAAUCCACACGCCAUAAAAUACAAGUGAUACAUGGAGGAAGCGGAAGAGAGAAUAACCAAGAUUGAUUGGAUUUUUUUUUCUGACCACAGCCCUGCUCUUCAAAGAAAAAUACAGGCUAUAAUGAAAUGGGGACAAUAUUGUUGAAAUCUAUUAAGGUGCUUUCCACUCCUGCAUGCGUUUGUGCUGGCCUCCCCCCAAGUCUGCCGGAGGUAUUCAAUUACUCAGGAUAUUUAGGGUUGCUACCCUAUGAAAAGGAGAAAAGAUUCA